This 609-nucleotide ribosomal RNA is filed under the name Alteromonas sp. QJHH15. RNAcentral describes it as "bacterial SSU rRNA". It matches the Rfam family "Bacterial small subunit ribosomal RNA", at positions 382 to 983 of the family's 1533-position model. The record is from RNAcentral. Lineage: Bacteria; Pseudomonadati; Pseudomonadota; Gammaproteobacteria; Alteromonadales; Alteromonadaceae.
CCUGAUGCAGCCAUGCCGCGUGUGUGAAGAAGGCCUUCGGGUUGUAAAGCACUUUCAGUUGUGAGGAAAAGUUAGUAGUUAAUACCUGCUAGCCGUGACGUUAACAACAGAAGAAGCACCGGCUAACUCCGUGCCAGCAGCCGCGGUAAUACGGAGGGUGCGAGCGUUAAUCGGAAUUACUGGGCGUAAAGCGCACGCAGGCGGUUUGUUAAGCUAGAUGUGAAAGCCCCGGGCUCAACCUGGGAUAGUCAUUUAGAACUGGCAGACUAGAGUCUUGGAGAGGGGAGUGGAAUUCCAGGUGUAGCGGUGAAAUGCGUAGAUAUCUGGAGGAACAUCAGUGGCGAAGGCGACUCCCUGGCCAAAGACUGACGCUCAUGUGCGAAAGUGUGGGUAGCGAACAGGAUUAGAUACCCUGGUAGUCCACACCGUAAACGCUGUCUACUAGCUGUUUGUGACUUUAAGUCGUGAGUAGCGAAGCUAACGCGCUAAGUAGACCGCCUGGGGAGUACGGCCGCAAGGUUAAAACUCAAAUGAAUUGACGGGGGCCCGCACAAGCGGUGGAGCAUGUGGUUUAAUUCGAUGCAACGCGAAGAACCUUACCUACACUUG